GUUCAAACCUUAGCCUCGGCAUGGUGCUCUACCCAACUUUUUCUUUUUUUAGUACUUGGAAAACAUUAACAUCUAUAAUAAAUCCAAAAAUCUCAUCCAUUAUUCUCUAAGAGACCAACAUACAAAAUUGACGAAACACAAAGUCACGGUCUCACAACAUGUAAUUAAACGGGCUACACGUGUUUCGCUCUAGUUAGAGCAUCAUCAGGCCUUUAGAAGCCAUCCACACACUUAUGCUGUAACUGAUGAUGCUCUAACUAGAGCGAAACACGUGUAGCCCGUUUAAUUACAUGUUGUGAGACCGUGACUUUGUGUUUUUCUUUGUUUUUCGUCAAUCUAUAGUAAAUACAGAGAGAAAAGGAAAGGUCUUAUUAUAUAUUAUAAUCAAAAAUAAAUUUCAUUGAAAUAUUACUAACUUAUUUCUGGGUAUCAUGCUUCAGAGAACCAUGAUGUGUUACAAUACGCUCCGCUCUUUAAUUUUAGUUUAGUAGAAAAUAUUCUCAAAACCUACAUAUAUCAAAAUUAUGUCAGGGUUCUAAAAUGAAUCGGUAAUAAAAUCGUAAACCAGAUCAACAUUGGAAAUAAUUUAAAAAAUUUGCUUUGGUCCGAUUGAAAAAAGUACUAUACUACCAAAUAGUUACAUCUAUUCUGUAGCAAUAAAAGUUAUAAAAUUCUGUCUAUUAUUAAUUUUAAUAUUAUAAAGUGUAUCGUUUAACUCUUAGCCAUUAUUUAUAAUUUAAUUGUUAAUUAUGCCUAAAAAAACGAAUUAACAACUUUGGUAUUGUUUGGAAGGUAAACAGCUUAAUUCCUUUAUGUAAAGCCACCUUAACAUGUUUUUGCAUAAUUCUGACUCACGUUGGUUGCUAUCGGGCUUAAGCCAUAAAAAUCGAAGAAAAAAAGAAGAAGACGAAGAGACUUUCACUUGUCAUUUCAAUGUCACUUUCCGGCCCACAAGCAUAAACGCCACCGGCAACGGAAGUUCCCAAAAUCCAAACAAAUGUUGGAAGAUAUUUUUAAGUCUCCGCAUCUUUCUUACUUUCCUAUAUGAAAAUAAAAUGUAAGUAUCACAAUUACACACAUACAAGUUUUUUUUUUUAAUUCAGUUUCAUAAUUACCAAUUUUUAGUGAAUAAUCCUGAAAUUUAUGAAAAUACAUACAUUUUAAGGUUAUGUCAUAAUGUUUUGAUUGUUAUAUUUGAUUUUGUUUUUGUUAUUUUAGUGGACUACACCAACAAAGGUUAUGUGUUUUGCACCAGAUUGAAAGCAUCAUAGCGAAAAACGGACCUGUCAUAUCUUUAAAUUUUCAAAAGAGCCCCUGGAAAAAGAAAAAUGAAUAUCUUUGCCAAGGAAUAGGUACUAAGGCAAAUGGAUAAAAAACCUUCAGUCCAUGCAUUGGUAUGUAAUUGUUGACAAAAAUACAAUGAAUGGCCUCACUACUUUUCCACAUGCAAAGAGGUUAACCAAGGAGAAAUUAAAGAAAUUGUCAAAAACCUAGGUAAAUACAGAAUUGCUUAGUACAAACAUAUCUAUACCCAGUACAAGUUCGUCCACUUCUUUGAAGCAUGGUACUUCAAACAGAGACACUGUCAACAAUUUUGUAGAAGGUGAGCCGGUGUCAAAUUCCAGUAAGGGACAUGAUUUCAAUUUUGCACCAACAGCAGAGCUAAAAUUCAUUUUGCCGCAAAAAACUGGAGGAUGUGAAAGAAAAAAGUGCAGAAGUUAAAAUUAAGUUUUUCAUAUGAGCACAUAAAAAAUAAUCAUGACAAAGUUCAGUUGUAUACAGGUUUGACAUGUAAUAAAUAUUUUUGUAAUCUUAUUAAGUUAAUUAGUUUUAUAUAUUAUUUAAAUAAUAAUUGUAUACUUCACAUAGAA
Anthonomus grandis grandis is the source of this 1871-nucleotide long non-coding RNA. RefSeq lists it as uncharacterized. The record is from RefSeq and is a predicted model, not a curated record. The transcript is spliced from 3 exons. Lineage: Eukaryota; Metazoa; Arthropoda; Insecta; Coleoptera; Curculionidae.